RNAcentral lists this ribosomal RNA (277 nucleotides) under uncultured bacterium. RNAcentral's name for it is "partial 16S ribosomal RNA". It matches the Rfam family "Bacterial small subunit ribosomal RNA", at positions 30 to 307 of the family's 1533-position model. The record is from RNAcentral.
AUUGAACGCUGGCGGCAUGCCUUACACAUGCAAGUCGAACGGUAACGCGGGGGCAACCCUGGCGACGAGUGGCGAACGGGUGAGUAAUACAUCGGAACGUACCCAGUAGUGGGGGAUAGCUCGGCGAAAGCCGGAUUAAUACCGCAUACGACCUACGGGUGAAAGCGGGGGAUCGCAAGACCUCGCGCUAUUGGAGCGGCCGAUGUCGGAUUAGCUAGUUGGUGAGGUAAAGGCUCACCAAGGCUACGAUCCGUAGCUGGUCUGAGAGGACGACCAG